AAAGGGAGGGAGGGAGAGAGAGAGGGUGGAAGGGAGGAAAGGGAGGGAGGGAGAGAGAGAGGGUGGAAGGGAGAGAGUGGAGGAGGAGAGAGAGAGAGAGAGAGGGAGGCAGGGAGGAAAGGAAGCUGUGGGAGCAAUAUCUGAGGCGCGUAGUCAUUCUCCAUAUUUACCCUAAACCAACACAGUAAUUCCCAUGUACCUGUGUGCGCUGGCGGCCAUAUCCCGGAGACCCUAAGGCACAUGUUGACGGGACUUUGUGAGAAUGUGCGUCCGUAGUCUGCACAGGCCUGGCCUAGAUGUCCUCGUCACAUCGCUCAUGACGGCCGAGAAAAUGUCUGAAAGGGGAGCGUCGGCAAAGAUAAUGUCCUGUUAGUUUACACGCACUCUGCGAUAUUGUUGAAACUGUACAGCGCAGAACGCUGGGAUUGUACGAGUGUGUGCGUCUCCAGUGUGUGCAGGUCUGGCGUUAGAAAAGAAGAACAACAUGUUAUAACCACCACCAUCACCACCAACACCACCACCACCACUAUGGCAACCACCACCCCCACCACCCCUACCACACAGCCGCCACCACCGCCACCACCACCACUCAGCCCACCGUCAUAGAGAGUGGGCGGCCUCACCCUUUCCUGCCCUCGUAUUUGCUGGACAGUGUGGAGGAUGGCUUGGGCAGCAGUGGCAACAGUGAGGUGGCGGCCGGCGGAGGGGGAGAGAGACAGGCGGAGAAGAACGUCAAGGUCCAUUUCAAUUCUUCCUUCAACGUUGUCAAGUACAGGGACAUCAAGACCUCUAACAGACACUGGGGCACCAGACUGACAACUAACCUGAGACUCACCAACCUGGGACAGUGGUACCGACGCUCCCCUGCCCAGCACCGGCAGAUCCACUGGUGCAGUGUUUGU
Molecule: long non-coding RNA, 902 nt
Organism: Eriocheir sinensis (Chinese mitten crab)
Lineage: Eukaryota; Metazoa; Arthropoda; Malacostraca; Decapoda; Varunidae
Exons: 4
Source: RefSeq, a predicted model, not a curated record